This is a long non-coding RNA of Aedes aegypti (yellow fever mosquito), 766 nucleotides long. RefSeq lists it as uncharacterized. The record is from RefSeq and is a predicted model, not a curated record. The transcript has 3 exons. NCBI's taxonomy places the organism in Eukaryota, Metazoa, Arthropoda, Insecta, Diptera, Culicidae.
UAGCGCCCCGUCGAUGAAGAGUGAGUCGAUAUCCCCACAUGACUCAAUUUUGACAUGUACCACACCCGAUGCCAUCGAGGGGAUUGCAGAAACGUGAAUAAUAAUAAGAAACAAAAAUAAAACCAUCAUUCCACCAAAUAGCAACAAGUUUACAUGAAAGUUUAAGUAAUAGGAGUUGAAUUACGUGCCCUAAAUUAAUUAUUUUACAAUUAUAAUAGCCAAUAUCAGUUAGAAUUAUCUACCUGCAGUGCAAUACUGGUUCAGAGUGCUCUAAAGCACCGGUUUAGUUUUAGCGUGAAUUUGUAUUGAACUAGGUGCGAUAUAUGGCAGUAUGUUUGGAAGAAAUCAUAAGCUUAUAUUUGCUCUUUAUAUCUAUGAUUAGGUGAAAAACAGGGAAAUCUGGUCGGUAAGCAUUCCGUAGUUGUCGAAAACGUUAUCCGAGCAAGUGCGACUCAGAGGGGUUCACAAUCGUCGCGAAAAGGAGCAUUGUUGCGAAGGAAUAUUCCGAGGCUAGAUCGCUAAAAGAAUUUUAUAAUUUAUCAAUUACGCCGAAUAAAUUUAUUGAAUUUGAAUCUAGUUCCUCGCUGCUCUCGCAACAUUUUAUAAAAUUCUUUUACCAUGUCGGAGAAGUCGACGCAUUGUGUAGCAAAUCCCACUGGAGUACCAGGAAACACCGACAACAUCACCGGAGCGGCCACAGCAACGAACGCAAGUAAUGUCCCCUCCGUUGUCAUACUGCCACCUCCUAGCGUUGGAGAACAGGUAA